AGAGAGAGACAUGCGCGCAUAUCAAUAAGCGGAGGAAAAGAAACUAACUAGGAUUCCCUCAGUAACGGCGAGUGAAGCGGGAAGAGCUCAAAUUUGAAAUCUUCAAGGUUCUACCUUGACGAAUUGUAGUUUAAAGAAGUGUUUUCUGUUGGAGUUUUGGUAAAAGUUCUUUGGAAUAGGACAUCAUAGAGGGUGAGAAUCCCGUAUUUGACCAUUAUUUCCAGCUUUGUGAUACACUUUCAAAGAGUCGGAUUGUUUGGGAAUGCAGUCCAAAAUGGGUGGUAAAUUUCAUCUAAAGCUAAAUAUUGGCGAGAGACCGAUAGCGAACAAGUACCGUGAGGGAAAGAUGAAAAGAACUUUGAAAAGAGAGUUAAACAGUACGUGAAAUUGUCAAAAGGGAAGCGUUUGACACCAGCGUUGUUUUCUCGAAAAUCAAUUAAAAAAGGCAGGAUUUUGUGUUGUAUUGACUUUAUCAGCUUUCUGCACUCUUUUCUUGUCUUUUUUAAUGCACUUUUCGUUUAACAAGUCAACAUCAGUUUCUUUUGUUGUAAAAGGGUCAUUGGAAGGUGGCUUUCUUUUCGGAGAAAGUGUUUAUAGCCUUUGCCUCUGCAAUCGGAGAGAUUGAGGUCUGCAGCGUAGAUCCUUCGGGGUUAGAUACAUUUGUGCUAAGUUAUAGCCUUUUCAUAGACAACUUGUUGACUAUGAUCAGUCAUGUAGCUUACUCGCUUAUGCUAUUUUACCUACGCUUAGGAUGUUGAUGUGAUACUGCGAGCA
Molecule: ribosomal RNA, 774 nt
Filed under: uncultured Neocallimastigales
Lineage: Eukaryota; Fungi; Neocallimastigomycota; Neocallimastigomycetes; Neocallimastigales
Description: partial large subunit ribosomal RNA
Rfam family: Eukaryotic large subunit ribosomal RNA
Source: RNAcentral